GAUCAUGGCUCAGGAUGAACGCUAGCUACAGGCUUAACACAUGCAAGUCGAGGGGCAGCGGGAUUGAAGCUUGCUUCAAUUGCCGGCGACCGGCGCACGGGUGAGUAACGCGUAUCCAACCUUCCGCAUACUCGGGGAUAGCCUUCUGAAAAGGAGAUUAAUACCCGAUGGUAUCAAGAGAUUGCACGAUAACUUGAUUAAAGAAUUUCGGUAUGCGAUGGGGAUGCGUUCCA
This 233-nucleotide ribosomal RNA is filed under the name uncultured bacterium. RNAcentral describes it as "partial 16S ribosomal RNA". It matches the Rfam family "Bacterial small subunit ribosomal RNA", at positions 15 to 240 of the family's 1533-position model. The record is from RNAcentral.